RNAcentral lists this transfer RNA (84 nucleotides) under Loktanella fryxellensis. Its description in RNAcentral is "tRNA_Leu_TAA". It matches the Rfam family "tRNA". From Rfam's summary of the family: Transfer RNA (tRNA) molecules are approximately 80 nucleotides in length. Their secondary structure includes four short double-helical elements and three loops (D, anti-codon, and T loops). The record is from RNAcentral. Lineage: Bacteria; Pseudomonadati; Pseudomonadota; Alphaproteobacteria; Rhodobacterales; Roseobacteraceae.
GGCGGUGUGGUGGAAUGGUAGACACGAGCGACUUAAAAUCGCUUUCCUGACCGAGUGCGGGUUCGAGUCCCGCCACCGCUACCA